CAAGGCCGUAGUCCAGCGGCACACUGUUUGUCCCUCCGCCCGCGGUCGAGCGUUAGGGCUAUCGAGGCAUUAACUGUGUCCAUCUAACAUUGAGUGCCACAGUGUUAUCGAGACCACUCCGUGCAAGAAAUCCACAUACAAGCUGAUCGCUGCUGUUGGCGGGACUUCAUAAUGCGCAAAGUGCAGAUGGCAAAUCGUUGAUGCAGAUCCGAUUGACCGCCAGCUGAGUGUGGUUGUGUCACAGAAUUUCCGCGAGUUUAGCGAUCUAACAUUGUAACAAGCGCAACCAUUUAACGUGAAUGGAGGUGACUCAAUGAGGAACGUAUUCCUGACUCGCGUUGUCGCUAUGAUGAUAUACUGGAGGAGCAGAAUCGUCGGUCUGAGCACCAGGGAGAAGUUCCGGGUGAGGAAUA
Schistocerca gregaria is the source of this 413-nucleotide long non-coding RNA. RefSeq lists it as uncharacterized. NCBI's taxonomy places the organism in Eukaryota, Metazoa, Arthropoda, Insecta, Orthoptera, Acrididae. The record is from RefSeq and is a predicted model, not a curated record. The transcript has 3 exons.